UGGGUGAUCUGGUGGAACUGCGCCAUGUGUCUGUUUAUGGAAGUGUGUAUGCCAUUGCUGAUGUGGCCUUCUGCAUGGGAUUUUCUUUAGGUCCAUCCAUCGGAGGAUCAAUAGCUGAGAGUAUUGGCUUCCCCUAGCUGAUGACCAUCAUUGGAAUAGUGGAUAUUAUUUUUGCUCCUCUUUGCAUCUUCCUCAGGAGUCCACCGGGACAAGAAGAGAAAAUUACAUUAUUGACGGGAGAAAAACCGGUAAUUACCUUACCAUCAUUGGACACCAGUUGGCCGCAUGCAUGUCUCCAUCUGACCUUCAUGUCCAUUUGUUUGUCCCCAUGCAGCAUCUGCCAGCCUGCACCACCUCUCUCACUGUCUGUACCGCUAUGAGUUCAUCUUUUCUGCCAUUUUAUCAGUAUUUGCCUCUUUUAACUUUUUACUAG
Molecule: long non-coding RNA, 433 nt
Organism: Etheostoma cragini (Arkansas darter)
Lineage: Eukaryota; Metazoa; Chordata; Actinopteri; Perciformes; Percidae
Exons: 3
Source: RefSeq, a predicted model, not a curated record